GGGCCUGUGGCGCAGUUGGGAGCGCGCUUCCAUGGCAUGGAAGAGGUCGAGGGUUCGAAUUCGUCCAGGUCCACCA
This 76-nucleotide transfer RNA is filed under the name Terriglobia bacterium. RNAcentral describes it as "tRNA-Ala". It matches the Rfam family "tRNA". Rfam says of the family: Transfer RNA (tRNA) molecules are approximately 80 nucleotides in length. Their secondary structure includes four short double-helical elements and three loops (D, anti-codon, and T loops). Lineage: Bacteria; Pseudomonadati; Acidobacteriota; Terriglobia. The record is from RNAcentral.